AGGAGUUUGGAUCCUGGCUCAGGAUGAACGCUAGCGGCAGGCUUAAUACAUGCAAGUCGAGGGGCAGCGGGGGUAGCAAUACCUGCCGGCGACCGGCAAACGGGUGCGGAACACGUACACAACCUUCCUUUAAGUGGGGGAUAGCCCAGAGAAAUUUGGAUUAAUACCCCGUAACAUUAUGAGAUGGCAUCAUUUUAUAAUUAAAGCUCCGGCGCUUAGAGAUGGGUGUGCGUCUGAUUAGGUAGUUGUGCGGGUAACGGCCCACCAAGCCUUCGAUCAGUAACUGGUGUGAGAGCACGACCAGUCACACGGGCACUGAGACACGGGCCCGACUCCUACGGGAGGCAGCAGUAAGGAAUAUUGGUCAAUGGACGCAAGUCUGAACCAGCCAUGCCGCGUGGAGGAUGAAGGUCCUCUGGAUUGUAAACUUCUUUUAUCUGGGAAGAAAUGCAUUUUUUCUAAAGUGUUUGACGGUACCAGAAGAAUAAGCACCGGCUAACUCCGUGCCAGCAGCCGCGGUAAUACGGAGGGUGCAAGCGUUAUCCGGAUUCACUGGGUUUAAAGGGUGCGUAGGUGGCAGGUAAGUCAGUGGUGAAAUCUCCGGGCUUAACCCGGAAACUGCAUUGAUACUAUCGGUCUUGAAUAUCGUGGAGGUAGCGGAAUAUG
RNAcentral lists this ribosomal RNA (666 nucleotides) under uncultured Bacteroidota bacterium. RNAcentral describes it as "bacterial SSU rRNA". It matches the Rfam family "Bacterial small subunit ribosomal RNA", at positions 1 to 670 of the family's 1533-position model. Lineage: Bacteria; Pseudomonadati; Bacteroidota. The record is from RNAcentral.